Meriones unguiculatus (Mongolian gerbil) is the source of this 94-nucleotide small nucleolar RNA. The record is from Ensembl. Lineage: Eukaryota; Metazoa; Chordata; Mammalia; Rodentia; Muridae.
UGCUGGUGAUGAAGCUGCCUCACUCAGAGCACUGGGCACUGCCAGGGGUAAGCCAGACACCAUAUCCAUCCCUGUCACACUCACUGCAGGAACA